Molecule: ribosomal RNA, 542 nt
Filed under: uncultured bacterium
Lineage: Bacteria
Description: bacterial SSU rRNA
Rfam family: Bacterial small subunit ribosomal RNA
Source: RNAcentral
CCUGACGCAGCGACGCCGCGUGGAGGAUGAAGGUCUUCGGAUUGUAAACUCCUGUUGCUCGGGACGAAAAGCCUCGACCUGACACGUCGAGGUCUGACGGUACCGAGUGAGGAAGCCCCGGCUAACUCUGUGCCAGCAGCCGCGGUAAUACAGAGGGGGCAAGCGUUGUUCGGAAUUACUGGGCGUAAAGGGCGCGUAGGCGGCCCGCUAAGUCGAACGUGAAAUCCCCGAGCUCAACUCGGGAACUGCGUCCGAUACUGGUGGGCUUGAAUCCGGGAGAGGGAUGCGGAAUUCCAGGUGUAGCGGUGAAAUGCGUAGAUAUCUGGAGGAACACCGGUGGCGAAGGCGGCAUCCUGGACCGGCAUUGACGCUGAGGCGCGAAAGCUAGGGGAGCAAACGGGAUUAGAUACCCCGGUAGUCCUAGCCCUGAACGAUGAAUGCUUGGUGUGGCGGGUAUCGAUCCCUGCCGUGCCGAAGCUAACGCAUUAAGCAUUCCGCCUGGGGAGUACGGUCGCAAGGCUGAAACUCAAAUGAAUUGACGG